GAAUUUUAUAUAAAUAAUAGUAAAUAAUUUAAAUUUAAUUAAGAUGAUAUAUUAUUAUUUAUAUUUUGUUGGGAGGAUAAUUAAAUUUGAAAAACUUUAAUUAAAAUAAAAUAUUAAUGAGUAAAAAGAAGAAGAUUAAAAAUAUAAUUUAGUAUAAAAAGAAUUAAUUACCUUAGGGAUAACAGCAUAAAAUUUUUAGAGAGAUCUUAUUAAUAAAAAUAUUUGU
This 226-nucleotide ribosomal RNA is filed under the name Rogeria scobinata. RNAcentral describes it as "partial large subunit ribosomal RNA". The record is from RNAcentral. Lineage: Eukaryota; Metazoa; Arthropoda; Insecta; Hymenoptera; Formicidae.